This 742-nucleotide long non-coding RNA is filed under the name Rattus norvegicus (Norway rat). RNAcentral's name for it is "long non-coding RNA NONRATT001765". Lineage: Eukaryota; Metazoa; Chordata; Mammalia; Rodentia; Muridae. The record is from RNAcentral.
AGCUCUCCUGGAUCAGGCACUUCAAGGGCCAAGCCCAGAACUAUUCAACACUGCUGCUGGAGGAGGCUUCCCAAAGGCUGUUGGUGGGAGCUCGAGGUGCCCUGUUCUCUCUCAGUGCCCGUGACAUAGGAGAUGGGACUCACAAAGAGGUCAGCCCCUGGCAUCUGGGCCAACCACAGGGUCUCCAGCUUCCUGGGACCUCAGUUACCUGGACACCUGCCCCUCAGCCUUCCAACCUCAGGACAGCACUGUCCUUUCUAGCCCAGGGCUCCUUUUGAAAUCCACCACACUUCCCCCGUACUCUGGAGCAACACUGUUUGAUUCUCCGGGUGGUGGAUAUUGAGGUCAACUUAGCAGUCUGUCCCUUUACUCUCACUAGAUCCACUGGGAGGCCUCCCCAGAGAUGCAAAGCAAGUGUCAUCAGAAAGGGAAAAACAACCAGGUAUGUGAUCUCCCUGUCCCCAGUUCUCCUUUCUUCCUCCUCAACCAGGGGUGCCAGAAUUAGAGGGACACAGGUAGAGCGGGACAGAUGUGCAUCCAAGUGUACAACCACAAUGAGUGGUGUGAGCGGCUGGCCUAGGGUAACCCUUCUACCCCAAAUAUCCAUGGUCUACAGCUUAGCCUGUACAGUAACUUAAUCCUCUUCCCAGGGCAUCUCAAAUUAUAAUCGUAACCGUAAGUAACUGCUGUAAGUGACAACUAGAUCUGGUUGUAAAAUAAUCUGAUAAAACAUUGUUGUACG